RNAcentral lists this ribosomal RNA (327 nucleotides) under uncultured eukaryote. RNAcentral describes it as "partial 18S ribosomal RNA". It matches the Rfam family "Eukaryotic small subunit ribosomal RNA", at positions 1470 to 1796 of the family's 1831-position model. The record is from RNAcentral.
CCCUUAGAUGUUCUGGGCCGCACGCGCGCUACACUGAUGCAUGCAACAAGUCUUUUCCUUGGCCGAGAGGCCUGGGCAAUCUUUGAAUAUGCAUCGUGAUGGGGAUAGACGAUUGCAAUUAUUCGUCUUCAACGAGGAAUUCCUAGUAAACGCAAGUCAUCAGCUUGCAUUGAUUACGUCCCUGCCCUUUGUACACACCGCCCGUCGCACCUACCGAUUGAAUGGUCCGGUGAAGGCUCCGGAGGCGUCUUUCUCAAUGUUUAUUCGGCGAGAUUGGUGCCAAAGUUGAAUGAACCUUACCAUUUAGAGGAAGGUGAAGUCGUAACA